UACGAAGGGGGCUAGCGUUGCUCGGAAUUACUGGGCGUAAAGGGCGCGUAGGCGGACAGUUUAGUCAGAGGUUAAAGCCCAGGGCUCAACCUUGGAAUCGCCUUUGAUACUGGCUGUCUUGAGUACGGGAGAGGUGUGUGGAACUCCGAGUGUAGAGGUGAAAUUCGUAGAUAUUCGCAAGAACACCAGUGGCGAAGGCGGCUCACUGGCCCGAUACUGACGCUGAGGUGCGAAAGCGUGGGGAGCAAACAGG
This 253-nucleotide ribosomal RNA is filed under the name uncultured bacterium. RNAcentral's name for it is "partial 16S ribosomal RNA". It matches the Rfam family "Bacterial small subunit ribosomal RNA", at positions 524 to 776 of the family's 1533-position model. The record is from RNAcentral.